UCAAAAUGCAUACAGAAAUCAAUCAGGCUAU
RNAcentral lists this non-coding RNA (31 nucleotides) under Mus musculus (house mouse). Lineage: Eukaryota; Metazoa; Chordata; Mammalia; Rodentia; Muridae. The record is from RNAcentral.